UACGAAGGGGGCUAGCGUUGCUCGGAAUCACUGGGCGUAAAGCGCACGUAGGCGGCUUUUUAAGUCAGGGGUGAAAUCCUGGAGCUCAACUCCAGAACUGCCUUUGAUACUGAGAGGCUUGAGUCCGGGAGAGGUGAGUGGAACUGCGAGUGUAGAGGUGAAAUUCGUAGAUAUCUGGAGGAAUACCGGUGGCGAAGGCGGCAUCCUGGACCAUUACUGACGCUGAGGCGCGAAAGCUAGGGGAGCAAACGGG
Molecule: ribosomal RNA, 253 nt
Filed under: uncultured bacterium
Lineage: Bacteria
Description: partial 16S ribosomal RNA
Rfam family: Bacterial small subunit ribosomal RNA
Source: RNAcentral